RNAcentral lists this ribosomal RNA (369 nucleotides) under uncultured bacterium. RNAcentral's name for it is "bacterial SSU rRNA". It matches the Rfam family "Bacterial small subunit ribosomal RNA", at positions 527 to 898 of the family's 1533-position model. The record is from RNAcentral.
GGAGGGUGCAAGCGUUAUCCGGAUUCACUGGGUUUAAAGGGUGCGUAGGUGGAUUAGUAAGUCAGUGGUGAAAUCUCCGGGCUUAACUCGGAAACUGCCAUUGAUACUAUUAAUCUUGAAUACCGUGGAGGUCAGCGGAAUAUGUCAUGUAGCGGUGAAAUGCUUAGAUAUGACAUAGAACACCAAUUGCGAAGGCAGCUGGCUACACGAAUAUUGACACUGAGGCACGAAAGCGUGAGGAUCAAACAGGAUUAGAUACCCUGGUAGUUCACGCCCUAAACGAUGGAUACUCGACAUUUGCGAUAAACUGCAAGUGUCUGAGCGAAAGCAUUAAGUAUCCCACCUGGGAAGUACGAUCGCAAGAUUGAA